This 497-nucleotide ribosomal RNA is filed under the name uncultured bacterium. RNAcentral describes it as "partial 16S ribosomal RNA". It matches the Rfam family "Bacterial small subunit ribosomal RNA", at positions 28 to 507 of the family's 1533-position model. The record is from RNAcentral.
GAUGAACGCUGGCGGCGUGCCUAAUACAUGCAAGUCGAGCGAACGGACGAGAAGCUUGCUUCUCUGAUGUUAGCGGCGGACGGGUGAGUAACACGUGGAUAACCUACCUAUAAUACUGGGAUAACUUCGGGAAACCGUAGCUAAUACCGGAUAAUAUUUUGAACCGCAUGGUUCAAAAGUGAAAGACGGUCUUGCUGUCACUUAUAGAUGGAUCCGCGCUGCAUUAGCCAGUUGGUAAGGUAACGGCUUACCAAGGCAACGAUGCAUAGCCGACCUGAGAGGGUGAUCGGCCACACUGGAACUGAGACACGGUCCAGACUCCUACGGGAGGCAGCAGUAGGGAAUCUUCCGCAAUGGGCGAAAGCCUGACGGAGCAACGCCGCGUGAGUGAUGAAGGUCUUCGGAUCGUAAAACUCUGUUAUUAGGGAAGAACAUAUGUGUAAGUAACUGUGCACAUCUUGACGGUACCUAAUCAGAAAGCCACGGCUAACUACGUG